AGCCAUGCAUGUCUCAGUGCAUGCCGAAUUAAGGUGAAACCGCGAAUGGCUCAUUAAAUCAGUUAUGGUUCAUUAGAUUGUACCCACAUUUACUUGGAUAACUGUGGUAAUUCUAGAGCUAAUACAUGCAAAACAGAGUCCCGACCAGUGAUGGAAGGGACGCUUUUAUUAGAUCAAAACCAAUCGGUGGCGGAUGGCUCGUCCGUCCGUCCACCGUUUAUUUUGGUGACUCUGAAUAACUUUGUGCUGAUCGCACGGUCUUAGCACCGGCGACGCAUCUUUCAAAUGUCUGCCUUAUCAACUGUCGAUGGUAGGUUCUGCGCCUACCAUGGUUGUAACGGGUAACGGGGAAUCAGGGUUCGAUUCCGGAGAGGGAGCCUGAGAAACGGCUACCACAUCCAAGGAAGGCAGCAGGCGCGCAAAUUACCCACUCCCGGCACGGGGAGGUAGUGACGAAAAAUAACGAUACGGGACUCAUCCGAGGCCCCGUAAUCGGAAUGAGUACACUUUAAAUCAUUUAACGAGGAUCCAUUGGAGGGCAAGUCUGGUGCCAGCAGCCGCGGUAAUUCCAGCUCCAAUAGCGUAUAUUAAAGUUGUUGCGGUUAAAAAGCUCGUAGUUGAAUCUGUGUCGCACACUGUCGGUUCACCGCUCGCGGUGUUUAACUGGCAUGAUGUGGGACGUCCUACCGGUGGGCUUAGCCUCGC
This 705-nucleotide ribosomal RNA is filed under the name Concoctio concenta. RNAcentral's name for it is "SSU rRNA". It matches the Rfam family "Eukaryotic small subunit ribosomal RNA", at positions 47 to 720 of the family's 1831-position model. Lineage: Eukaryota; Metazoa; Arthropoda; Insecta; Hymenoptera; Formicidae. The record is from RNAcentral.